UUGAUUGGUAAAAAUAGAAGAAAAUUCUUUCCUCCUUAUCACGAUCCUUAUUAUUAUUAUAUUAUGCAUUAUCAUGUAAGCAUAUGCUACAAUCUUAAGCACGUAUUAUACUCUCUCUCUCUCUUCCCUUGUAAUCUCCAUCUUCGUCUGCUAUCUUGCUACCUGUUGUUUUGUUGCUCUUGAACUGUCUUUAAUUUUCUAGCUGGUUUAUUGUAUCCAGACCAAACCAAACCAUAGUAGUUAACUGUAAUAAAUGUUUUAGAAUCCAGAGAUAGUUUCAUGGGUAAUUUGAUCAAAGGAGUGGUGUCUACAACAACCUCUUGUUCUAACCUUGUGAUGCUUAUCUAUUCUUCCAUUGCUGGUGGAUUCCGUGAGUGAAAUUGGAGUCAACUGGGGAACUCAGGCAACGCAUCCUUUGCCGCCUUCCACUGUGGUUAAAAUGCUCAGGGACAACGGUUUUCAGAAGAUCAAGCUAUUUGAUGCUGAUUCAGCAACUCUAAAUGCUCUUGCUAAUUCUGGGAUUCAAGUCAUGGUGGGUAUUCCCAAUGAUAUGCUUUAUAAUCUGGCCAAUAGCGAGCAAGCUGCUGACACCUGGGUGGCCAAGAAUGUCUCUUCUCAUAUCUCUUCUGGUGGUGCAGACAUCAGCAAUUUGAUUUUAGGUGGUGAAGGAGGAAAUGGAAAAGGAAUGGUGGGAAGGCGGGGCCAAUGAGUCUCGUCUUUUGAUCACGCCUUCACCUUCGCCCACUGCAGGAGCUGGAAUUAAUGGAUUUUUGUUAUUGCUUCGACAUCCAAAAUCAGGGAAGGCAACAAACUAUCUGCUCCCUCAUGAAUGAGGGAGCAGUGCUCCAAGAACUUUACUGAUUUAAGCAAUCAUGUAUGUCAUGGUGUCUUGGGGAUUAUGUUUCUCAAGGUAUAUACAUAUAUAUACAGUUCUUUACUAAAAAAUGCACAAACUUCCCUAUCUAA
This is an RNA transcript of Populus euphratica (Euphrates poplar), 966 nucleotides long. It is a transcript of the gene named O-Glycosyl hydrolases family 17 protein, with no coding region annotated. The transcript has 4 exons. The record is from RefSeq and is a predicted model, not a curated record. Lineage: Eukaryota; Viridiplantae; Streptophyta; Magnoliopsida; Malpighiales; Salicaceae.